This 468-nucleotide ribosomal RNA is filed under the name uncultured bacterium. RNAcentral describes it as "partial 16S ribosomal RNA". It matches the Rfam family "Bacterial small subunit ribosomal RNA", at positions 28 to 507 of the family's 1533-position model. The record is from RNAcentral.
GACGAACGCUGGCGGCGUGCUUAACACAUGCAAGUCGAACGGAAAGGCCCUGCUUUUGUGGGGUGCUCGAGUGGCGAACGGGUGAGUAACACGUGAGUAACCUGCCCUUGACUUUGGGAUAACUUCAGGAAACUGGGGCUAAUACCGGAUAGGAGCUCCUGCUGCAUGGUGGGGGUUGGAAAGUUUCGGCGGUUGGGGGUGGACUCGCGGCUUAUCAGCUUGUUGGUGGGGUAGUGGCUUACCAAGGCUUUGGCGGGUAGCCGGCCUGAGAGGGUGACCGGCCACAUUGGGACUGAGAUACGGCCCAGACUCCUACGGGAGGCAGCAGUGGGGACUAUUGCACAAUGGGCGGAAGCCUGAUGCAGCAACGCCGCGUGCGGGAUGACGGCCUUCGGGUUGUAAACCGCUUUCGCCUGUGACGAAGCGUGAGUGACGGUAAUGGGUAAAGAAGCACCGGCUAACUACGUG